Long non-coding RNA from Oncorhynchus tshawytscha (Chinook salmon), 835 nucleotides. The record is from Ensembl. Lineage: Eukaryota; Metazoa; Chordata; Actinopteri; Salmoniformes; Salmonidae.
CAAUUACAUAGAAAAAAACGAAACGUCCCUUGAGUGCCACGGAUGUUGAAUACAAUUAUAUUUGAACUUACUCAGCCAAUUGUGCGUGGGGUUGGUCAUUCAGUUGAUCAAAAUUAGUGAACCAACUUCAAAACGCAGGUCUCUUGUGGGUGGCAAUCAAUAUUCGUUUGCUCGAGACCAAAGGAAUAUGCGCGAGACGGAAGUACAUGCACGAGAUGAAUGAAUACUAACCGAAGUCUUGCAGGUGUUUACAUGGAUUUGCGAAUGUGCCAGGUGAUAGAAAUUGCAACGGCAAUUAAACGGCAAAUAAAAGUUGGGUAAAUAAUACUUUCCUGUGGAUGUUCUGAAGGACCAACCUCACAACAGGUAGAAAAACUCAUAUCUUCCCAUCCUGCUCUCAUUUCUUCCUUCUGAUGCUUUGAGGAGGUGUCAAGGAGAACAGACACAAGGAUUCAAAGAAUAUCUUCCAUUUUGAUGAGCCAUUUUUUGGUUGUUGUUGCCAUUGACGCCCAGAGGUCAAUCCCGACAAAGUCAGAGAUCACUGAGCAAUAAAAAAGGCACCACUUCAUACGUUCCCUCUGGCAUACAACAUAAUGUAUGCCGUGAGACACUCUGAAGGCGCCUCCUCUCAAGACCCGGAGGUGUGCUGUGUCACAUGGUCCCUUGCUGAGCGCCCCCCAACCUCCGUCUCUACCGCACUACUGUGUUAGCUUACUGUAGAGCAUAGAGCUGUACAUGUUAUUUGAAUAAAAGUUAGGUUUGACUAAAGUUUGUCUAUCGUGUGUUAUAUUUUUGAAUGCGUUACCCUGGAUUAUACAGUUUGAUGACGAACACC